Molecule: long non-coding RNA, 2592 nt
Organism: Spinacia oleracea (spinach)
Lineage: Eukaryota; Viridiplantae; Streptophyta; Magnoliopsida; Caryophyllales; Amaranthaceae
Exons: 3
Source: RefSeq, a predicted model, not a curated record
UUUCCUCUCUUGUUCUUUCAAUAAUUUUCUCUCUCAAAGAAUUCCUUAGAAUUCUAUUAGUAACUUCCCUUAAUUAUGUAAAAAAAGUUUAAUAAUCAUGAUCCUAAGAAAUUUAAUAACCGGCUAGAAACCGCUCCUUAGAACAAAAAAUUAUUCCAGCAAUCCAGCGUCUCCUUCCCACUACUAACUUCCACCAAAAAUUAAUCCAUUAGAAUAAAUAUCUAUCAUGAAUUCAGUUCCAAUCAGUAUAAUUUUACAGGUAAUUAUGGUAUUAGUCGAUUCAAUUAUUUACAUUGUACCUUCUUUUGCUGCAAGCCUGAAAAUAUUUUCUUAACUUUGCGCAUAUUUGUCUACUUAUUACUCUUACCGUCUUACGUAGUAUAAUUUAAAAGUUUUAGUUUACUCUCCAGUUAUAUUCGUCCAAUUAUAACUCUCAUAAUUUUCCGAAUGGAAUCGAAUCCAGUUACGUCUAAUCGAUUAACAUUUUAAUUUUUUUUGAGAAGCAACUAAGGCCAUGAUUAUGACUGCAGAGAUGUCCGAUCUUGAUUCCAAUACCCAUGGAGAUUCAGUGGCAAUUCUAUGGUGGGCGUUGCUUUAUUAUAUCGUUCUCAUAAUUUCCAAAGAUAAAUUUGGAUUAAUGGACAGAUUACAAAUAUUUACAGUUGUCAUGGGUUCAGUUCGUCAUUUCUUUCCGAUCAUCAGUCGGUAAUCAGCAUUCUCAUCAUCCAAGUUGUGAGUGAUUUUUAAAAAAAAGUUGGACUUGAUUAUAAUCUUAGUUAGCAACCUUUUGAGUCCUUAAAUUUAGAAUUUGGUUUCUUUGGUUUUUAGCCCUUUUGAUGCAGUAGCAGUUGCUGUAAAGAAGGACAAACCUCCGUAAAGUUGGUGGUUGUGUAAACUCUAACUCUUUUAAUUUGUUAGUCCUAGCUUUGCAUCAAAAAUAAAUAAAUUAGAAUUUUGUUUGGUUUCUUACUGAAUCAAAUAGUCUUUUCGAUGUUUUUGGCUCGAUUACGAUUACAUCAGUUUUAAACUUUUGAAUAAUUUAAUUUAUGAAAUUCAGUUAAUUCGGAAUACAUUUGAUCUAUUUGAAGAGAAAUAUGAAGGUUGAAGGACAUUGGGGGAGUAUAGGUACAACAUAGCAUCAUUUUGUUCUUUAUAUUUUAUUUUUAUUUUUAUUUUUGGUAAGUAAGAGAGAAGUAUUAUUCAUACCAAAUGAUUACAGUCUAAGGAUCAAACAAGAAGCAAACUUCCUCUCAAGAUCCCACCCAAACUACAACCAGGAGGCACAAAACAAACCAAUGGAAGCCGCAAAACAACCAAAAAAAGACUAAUUGUACAGCAAAAAGCUAUCUUAGGGAGACUACAACUUAUCAAACCAUCAUUUUAUCUAUGGUAUUUGAGUAAUGAUAUUGAAAUUUAGUGUCUUAAUGUUGCGUGUCGGAGCAAUUGACGAAGAAGUUACUAGGUUGUUUGAGAAACGUAUUUUAGGCUGCAUCGGUUAUACAUAUACUUCGUAUAUAAAUCCAUUUUUAAAAAACUUAACCAUCUCUUCUUUCUAUUUCUUCUCUUUCUAGGUGUUGAACUAUAAUUGACUUAUUAAUUUUAGCAACUAUUCUUCGCUUAGUAGAGCUAAUUUUCAUGCACAAUAUACAUUAAAAGAUCACAAGAUGAUAUAAAUUUGAAAGCGAAAAAAUCACAUCAAAACUAAAUUCCAUGUAUACUUAAAAAAAUCACAUGGUAUACAUUUGAUAAUUCGAUGGUUGGUGGUGUGAACGGUUUCAAACUUUCAAUUGACCGAAGAGAAUGCAAGCUGGAUUUUAGUAAUCAUAGGUUUCUAGCACAAUAUUCGUAUUCUAUACUUUAAAAAGUCUUACGGGGUACUAUUAAUUGUACGUAGUUUAAGGGGGUUUUUAUUCGACGUCCUAUUCCGCUAAAAACGUUCUCAUUUUAAUGGUGAAAUUACACUACUACCCCUAUACACAUUUCCCUCCUCCCCUUCCCCUCUCACCUCAGCCCUUCCUUCCCUGCCGUCAAUCACCACCACAACCACAAACCGCACCACACCUUAACCACCACCACUGCACACACUGCACCAGCCGUUGAUGGGUCCCAAGAGAACACCUCCACGCCGCUGCCGUUGAUGGGUCCCACGAGAACACCACCGCGCCGCUGCCGCUGCUGGAUCCCAGGAGAACACCACCGCACGCUGUCGUUGCUGGGUUACAGGAGAUGCAAAGGCUGAGAUGCCGCCAGAGGGGGACAAUCGACCCGCCGACCAACCUCCGCCUGCGUCGCGGCUGGGCUGGGCUUGGUAUGAUUUCGAUUUUUUUAAUAUAAAAAUUAAAACCCAUGUGCCGCCCGGAAUUGGCGAUGGUGGCCAUGGUGGUGCCGCCUUGAAAAAGCGUUGGCGACCAUGGUUCAACCGCAGAUCUAGGGCGGUUGAACCAUGGCCGGCACCGCUAUUCCAGGGCGGCACCACCAUGGUAACUUCCGCCAAUUCCGCCAAAGAGUCCUGUCGCCGUCGUCCCUACCUCCGCCUGCACCGCGGCUUAGAGUGGUAACGGUUUUAAUUUUUUUUUGUUUUUUGAACUUGAC